AGUGAACGCUGGCGGUAGGCCUAACACAUGCAAGUCGAACGGCAGCACAGGAGAGCUUGCUCUCUGGGUGGCGAGUGGCGGACGGGUGAGGAAUACAUCGGAAUCUGCCCAGUCGUGGGGGAUAACGUAGGGAAACUUACGCUAAUACCGCAUACGACCUUCGGGUGAAAGAGGGGGAUCGCAAGACCUCUCGCGAUUGGAUGAGCCGAUGUCGGAUUAGCUAGUUGGCGGGGUAAUGGCCCACCAAGGCGACGAUCCGUAGCUGGUCUGAGAGGAUGAUCAGCCACACUGGAACUGAGACACGGUCCAGACUCCUACGGGAGGCAGCAGUGGGGAAUAUUGGACAAUGGGCGCAAGCCUGAUCCGGCCAUACCGCGUGGGUGAAGAAGGCCUUCGGGUUGUAAAGCCCUUUUGUUGGGAAAGAAAUCUUUCAGGCUAAUACCCUGGGAGGAUGACGGUACCCAAAGAAUAAGCACCGGCUAACUUCGUG
This 490-nucleotide ribosomal RNA is filed under the name uncultured bacterium. RNAcentral's name for it is "partial 16S ribosomal RNA". It matches the Rfam family "Bacterial small subunit ribosomal RNA", at positions 29 to 507 of the family's 1533-position model. The record is from RNAcentral.